RNAcentral lists this ribosomal RNA (293 nucleotides) under uncultured Acetobacteraceae bacterium. Its description in RNAcentral is "partial 16S ribosomal RNA". It matches the Rfam family "Bacterial small subunit ribosomal RNA", at positions 505 to 796 of the family's 1533-position model. The record is from RNAcentral. Lineage: Bacteria; Pseudomonadati; Pseudomonadota; Alphaproteobacteria; Acetobacterales; Acetobacteraceae.
GUGCCAGCAGCCGCGGUAAUACGAAGGGGGCAAGCGUUGCUCGGAAUGACUGGGCGUAAAGGGCGUGCAGGCGGUUUAUAGCUGUUGGGUGUGAAAUUUUGGGGCUUAACCCUGAAACUGCAUUCAAGACGUAUAGACUAGAGUAUGUGAGAGGAUAGUGGAAUUCCCAGUGUAGAGGUGAAAUUCGUAGAUAUUGGGAAGAACACCGGUUGCGAAGGCGGCCAUCUGGGACAACACUGACGCUGAAGCACGAAAGCGUGGGGAGCAAACAGGAUUAGAAACCCGAGUAGUCC